Molecule: ribosomal RNA, 253 nt
Filed under: uncultured bacterium
Lineage: Bacteria
Description: partial 16S ribosomal RNA
Rfam family: Bacterial small subunit ribosomal RNA
Source: RNAcentral
UACGAAGGGGGCUAGCGUUGUUCGGAAUUACUGGGCGUAAAGGGCGCGUAGGCGGCCUGCUAAGUCGGACGUGAAAUCCCUCGGCUCAACCGGGGAACUGCGUCCGAUACUGGUGGGCUCGAAUCCGGGAGAGGGAUGUGGAAUUCCAGGUGUAGCGGUGAAAUGCGUAGAUAUCUGGAGGAACACCGGUGGCGAAGGCGGCGUUCUGGACUGUUUCUGACACUGAGGAACGAAAGCCAGGGGAGCAAACGGG